CUACGGGUGGCUCCAGUGGGGAAUAUUGCACAAUGGGCGCAAGCCUGAUGCAGCCAUGCCGCGUGUAUGAAGAAGGCCUUCGGGUUGUAAAGUACUUUCAGCGGGGAGGAAGGGAGUAAAGUUAAUACCUUUGCUCAUUGACGUUACCCGCAGAAGAAGCACCGGCUAACUCCGUGCCAGCAGCCGCGGUAAUACGGAGGGUGCAAGCGUUAAUCGGAAUUACUGGGCGUAAAGCGCACGCAGGCGGGUUGUUAAGUCAGAUGUGAAAUCCCCGGGCUCAACCUGGGAACUGCAUCUGAUACUGGCAAGCUUGAGUCUCGUAGAGGGGGGUAGCAUUCCAGGUGUAGCGGUGAAAUGCGUAGAGAUCUGGAGGAAUACCGGUGGCGAAGGCGGCCCCCUGGACGAAGACUGACGCUCAGGUGCGAAAGCGUGGGGGGCAAACAGGAUUAGAUACCCGAGUAGUC
Molecule: ribosomal RNA, 464 nt
Filed under: uncultured bacterium
Lineage: Bacteria
Description: partial 16S ribosomal RNA
Rfam family: Bacterial small subunit ribosomal RNA
Source: RNAcentral